This is a long non-coding RNA of Gossypium arboreum, 836 nucleotides long. RefSeq lists it as uncharacterized. The transcript has 5 exons. Lineage: Eukaryota; Viridiplantae; Streptophyta; Magnoliopsida; Malvales; Malvaceae. The record is from RefSeq and is a predicted model, not a curated record.
UCCAGUCUGAUCACAGCUAGAAUCCAAUUAGCAUAUCCGUAAUUAAUGCACCGAUUCUAGUCCCUAAAAAAGCGAUUUCCAAACCCAUCAACUAUCCCACUUUCCCUUUUUUCUUUCUACGCAAAUACCACCUAUCGAACAACCCUCAGUCAGGUUCUCUUCUUCUCCACAAAUUCACCUCCGAUGUUUCUUGCUCAGGGACCCUUCUGAUCAGGCAAUGGAACCAACUGGUGGGCACCAACACAUAGACUUGUGCCUCGUGAUCGCCCACAAAGGGCAACAAAAUACUCGACAUUGAAUGCUGGAACUAUUCUUGAACACUCAGCAGUUACUCCACAUUUGGGACAUACUACCACCGAUAGCAAUCUCUUACACCGAAGAUUAACAAAAUGAUGAAUAAAAUUCCAAGAAAUUUUCCAGAUUAGGAUUUUAAUUUUCCCUGGAAUAUGAAUAUCCCACAAAUUUUUGUAAAAUAAAUUAGCCUCAGUCUUUAAAUAAUUAGGAAGAAAGCCAUGUAAAAAUUUGUAAGCACUUCGCACAGAGAAUUCCCCAGAGGCCUCUCCCUUCCAUACCAUGAAGUCCGUAUGAGGUUCCAUUGCUACGGGAAUUCGCACAAUUCUAUUUGCCUCUUCUCUAGAGAAGAUCAAAGGAGCCACGCAUCAGCAGCAAUUUAAAUAUUCUAGCCCGUUCCCACCCUCCAACAAAUCCCAGUCUUUAGCAAUCCUUUAGCUGCCCAUACACUCUUCCAGAUAUAUGAAGGUAGUUGUCCUAACUCAGUUGGAAUGUACUUAGCCUUUAGAACUUUCAUUAAUAAUGAAUCUGGAUAAUUAAGAAUA